Molecule: ribosomal RNA, 2911 nt
Filed under: Enterococcus faecalis EnGen0075
Lineage: Bacteria; Bacillati; Bacillota; Bacilli; Lactobacillales; Enterococcaceae
Also listed under: 3 other names
Description: bacterial LSU rRNA
Rfam family: Bacterial large subunit ribosomal RNA
Source: RNAcentral
UUAAGUGAAUAAGGGCGCACGGUGGAUGCCUUGGCACUAGGAGCCGAUGAAGGACGGGACUAACACCGAUAUGCUUUGGGGAGCUGUAAGUAAGCUAUGAUCCAGAGAUUUCCGAAUGGGGGAACCCAAUAUCUUUUAUAGGAUAUUACUUUUCAGUGAAUACAUAGCUGAUUAGAGGUAGACGCAGAGAACUGAAACAUCUUAGUAUCUGCAGGAAGAGAAAGAAAAUUCGAUUCCCUGAGUAGCGGCGAGCGAAACGGGAAGAGCCCAAACCAACAAGCUUGCUUGUUGGGGUUGUAGGACUCCAAUAUGGUAGUCUGUUAGUAUAGUUGAAGGAUUUGGAAAAUUCCGCUAAAGAGGGUGAAAGCCCCGUAGACGAAAUGCUAACAACACCUAGGAGGAUCCUGAGUACGGCGGAACACGAGAAAUUCCGUCGGAAUCCGCGGGGACCAUCCCGCAAGGCUAAAUACUCCCUAGUGACCGAUAGUGAACCAGUACCGUGAGGGAAAGGUGAAAAGCACCCCGGAAGGGGAGUGAAAUAGAUCCUGAAACCGUGUGCCUACAACAAGUCAAAGCUCGUUAAUGAGUGAUGGCGUGCCUUUUGUAGAAUGAACCGGCGAGUUACGAUUGCAUGCGAGGUUAAGUCGAAGAGACGGAGCCGCAGCGAAAGCGAGUCUGAAUAGGGCGAAUGAGUAUGUAGUCGUAGACCCGAAACCAUGUGAUCUACCCAUGUCCAGGUUGAAGGUGCGGUAAAACGCACUGGAGGACCGAACCCACGUACGUUGAAAAGUGCGGGGAUGAGGUGUGGGUAGCGGAGAAAUUCCAAACGAACUUGGAGAUAGCUGGUUCUCUCCGAAAUAGCUUUAGGGCUAGCCUCGGAAUUGAGAAUGAUGGAGGUAGAGCACUGUUUGGACUAGGGGCCCAUCUCGGGUUACCGAAUUCAGAUAAACUCCGAAUGCCAUUCAUUUAUAUCCGGGAGUCAGACUGCGAGUGAUAAGAUCCGUAGUCGAAAGGGAAACAGCCCAGACCACCAGCUAAGGUCCCAAAAUAUAUGUUAAGUGGAAAAGGAUGUGGGGUUGCACAGACAACUAGGAUGUUGGCUUAGAAGCAGCCACCAUUUAAAGAGUGCGUAAUAGCUCACUAGUCGAGUGACCCUGCGCCGAAAAUGUACCGGGGCUAAACAUAUUACCGAAGCUGUGGACUACACCAUUAGGUGUAGUGGUAGGAGAGCGUUCUAAGGGCGUUGAAGGUCGAUCGUGAGGACGGCUGGAGCGCUUAGAAGUGAGAAUGCCGGUAUGAGUAGCGAAAGACAGGUGAGAAUCCUGUCCACCGUAUGACUAAGGUUUCCUGGGGAAGGCUCGUCCGCCCAGGGUUAGUCGGGACCUAAGCCGAGGCCGAUAGGCGUAGGCGAUGGACAACAGGUUGAUAUUCCUGUACCAGUUGUUUUUGUUUGAGCAAUGGAGGGACGCAGUAGGCUAAGGAAUGCAUGCGAUUGGAAGUGCAUGUCCAAGCAAUGAGUCUUGAGUAGAGUUAAAUGCUUUACUCUCUAAGGACAAGUUGUGACGGGGAGCGAAAUAAUAGUAGCGAAGUUCCUGAUGUCACACUGCCAAGAAAAGCUUCUAGUGAGAAAACAACUGCCCGUACCGUAAACCGACACAGGUAGUCGAGGAGAGUAUCCUAAGGUGAGCGAGCGAACUCUCGUUAAGGAACUCGGCAAAAUGACCCCGUAACUUCGGGAGAAGGGGUGCUGACUUCGGUCAGCCGCAGUGAAUAGGCCCAAGCGACUGUUUAUCAAAAACACAGGUCUCUGCAAAAUCGUAAGAUGAAGUAUAGGGGCUGACGCCUGCCCGGUGCUGGAAGGUUAAGAGGAUGGGUUAGCUUCGGCGAAGCUCAGAAUUGAAGCCCCAGUAAACGGCGGCCGUAACUAUAACGGUCCUAAGGUAGCGAAAUUCCUUGUCGGGUAAGUUCCGACCCGCACGAAAGGCGUAACGAUUUGGGCACUGUCUCAACGAGAGACUCGGUGAAAUUUUAGUACCUGUGAAGAUGCAGGUUACCCGCGACAGGACGGAAAGACCCCAUGGAGCUUUACUGUAGUUUGAUAUUGAGUGUUUGUACCACAUGUACAGGAUAGGUAGGAGCCGAUGAGACCGGAACGCUAGUUUCGGAGGAGGCGCUGGUGGGAUACUACCCUUGUGUUAUGAACCCUCUAACCCGCACCACUAAUCGUGGUGGGAGACAGUGUCAGAUGGGCAGUUUGACUGGGGCGGUCGCCUCCUAAAAGGUAACGGAGGCGCCCAAAGGUUCCCUCAGAAUGGUUGGAAAUCAUUCGAAGAGUGUAAAGGCAGAAGGGAGCUUGACUGCGAGACCUACAAGUCGAGCAGGGACGAAAGUCGGGCUUAGUGAUCCGGUGGUUCCGCAUGGAAGGGCCAUCGCUCAACGGAUAAAAGCUACCCUGGGGAUAACAGGCUUAUCUCCCCCAAGAGUCCACAUCGACGGGGAGGUUUGGCACCUCGAUGUCGGCUCGUCGCAUCCUGGGGCUGUAGUCGGUCCCAAGGGUUGGGCUGUUCGCCCAUUAAAGCGGCACGCGAGCUGGGUUCAGAACGUCGUGAGACAGUUCGGUCCCUAUCCGUCGCGGGCGUUGGAAAUUUGAGAGGAGCUGUCCUUAGUACGAGAGGACCGGGAUGGACUUACCGCUGGUGUACCAGUUGUUCUGCCAAGGGCAUUGCUGGGUAGCUAUGUAGGGAAGGGAUAAACGCUGAAAGCAUCUAAGUGUGAAGCCCACCUCAAGAUGAGAUUUCCCAUUUCUUUAAGAAAGUAAGACCCCUGAGAGAUGAUCAGGUAGAUAGGUUGGAAGUGGAAGGCUAGUGAUAGUUGGAGCGGACCAAUACUAAUCGGUCGAGGACUUAACCAA